RNAcentral lists this transfer RNA (73 nucleotides) under Verrucomicrobia bacterium ADurb.Bin474. Its description in RNAcentral is "tRNA-Phe". It matches the Rfam family "tRNA". From Rfam's summary of the family: Transfer RNA (tRNA) molecules are approximately 80 nucleotides in length. RNAcentral also lists the same sequence under 1 other name. Lineage: Bacteria; Pseudomonadati; Verrucomicrobiota. The record is from RNAcentral.
GGCCAGAUAGCUCAGAUGGUAGAGCAACGGACUGAAAAUCCGUGUGUCGUUGGUUCGAUUCCGACUCUGGCCA